RNAcentral lists this unclassified non-coding RNA (253 nucleotides) under uncultured Anaerolineales bacterium. RNAcentral's name for it is "contains 16S-23S intergenic spacer region". It matches the Rfam family "Bacterial small subunit ribosomal RNA", at positions 524 to 776 of the family's 1533-position model. The record is from RNAcentral. Lineage: Bacteria; Bacillati; Chloroflexota; Anaerolineae; Anaerolineales.
CACGUAGGAUCCAAGCGUUAUCCGGAUUUACUGGGCGUAAAGCGCGUGCAGGUGGUUUGGAAAGUUGGGUGUUAAAGCUCUCGGCUCAACCGGGAGUUGUCGCUCAAAACUAGCAGACUAGAGGAUGGUAGAGGGAGGUGGAAUUCCGGGUGUAGUGGUGAAAUGUGUAGAGAUCCGGAGGAACACCUGUGGCGAAGGCGGGCUCCUGGCCCUUUCCUGACACUCAGACGCGAAAGCUAGGGUAGCAAACGGG